This is a long non-coding RNA of Oreochromis aureus, 728 nucleotides long. The record is from Ensembl. Lineage: Eukaryota; Metazoa; Chordata; Actinopteri; Cichliformes; Cichlidae.
UUUUUUUAAAACUUUGCACAGUAUACAUUCAUCUUAUAAUUUAUACAUACCAGUGAAGAUUAGGAUUAUGCUUGAAGGAGCUUGUUGAGGAGCGGAUGUGAGGGAGGACGGUAAAAAGCUUAGGGAUCAGGAGAGGGCUUGAUAUAAAGGCUGACAGCAACAAGCUGACACUCAGACCACUGGAGCUCUGCUCAUUUUAAAGCACACUUCCUCAAGCAACUAACCAACGCUGACACAGCACGGGACAGAGCAAAAUGAGCAUGCGUGGAGCAGUGGCUGGUUGCGUGGUGCUGGUGUGCCUGAUGGCGCUGCUGGUUCAGAGGACGGAGGGACACAUCACGUUCUUUAGCCCAAAAGAGUUGAUGCUGAUGAAGGAGCGAGAAGGGAGAAAGGACAUGGAGCCUCGAUCAGAGGAUGGCCAGUUUGAAGAAGUCACCGUCCAACAGGUUCCCCAGACAGAACGUGGUGGAAAUCCCGAGAAGAUCGUGGAGAAUUCUGUCCGUCUUUCACCAAAACAGCUGGAUCACGUGACUCCAGUGCUCGAAGAGAUCAUCCAUGAAAUAACCCAGGAGUGUCAGAAAGCAAAGUAACAAGGCUGAUAGCAUGAGGGGAUGAAUGCUGUAUAAAUUCUUCAAAAAGCACAGAAUGCUUUAAAGUUUUAUUGUGUCUUACUGAAUUAAUCAAUAAAGGGAAGUGAUUGUGUCACUCAUUCCAGUUUGCGCUGUAAU